This 496-nucleotide ribosomal RNA is filed under the name uncultured bacterium. RNAcentral's name for it is "partial 16S ribosomal RNA". It matches the Rfam family "Bacterial small subunit ribosomal RNA", at positions 29 to 507 of the family's 1533-position model. The record is from RNAcentral.
AUGCACGCUGGCGGCGUGCCUAAUCCAUGCAAGUCGAGCGAACGGACGAGAAGCUUGCUUCUCUGAUGUUAGCGGCGGACGGGUGAGUAACACGUGGAUAACCUACCUAUAAGACUGGGAUAACUUCGGGAAACCGGAGCUAAUACCGGAUGAUAUUUUGAACCGCAUGGUUCAAAAGUGAAAGACGGUCUUGCUGUCACUUAUAGAUGGAUCCGCGCUGCAUUAGCUAGUUGGUAAGGUAAUGGCUUACCAAGGCAACGAUGCAUAGCCGACCUGAGAGGGUGAUCGGCCACACUGGAACUGAGACACGGUCCAGACUCCUACGGGAGGCAGCAGUAGGGAAUCUUCCGCAAUGGGCGAAAGCCUGACGGAGCAACGCCGCGUGAGUGAUGAAGGUCUUCGGAUCGUAAAACUCUGUUAUUAGGGAAGAACAUAUGUGUAAGUAACUGUGCACAUCUUGACGGUACCUAAUCAGAAAGCCACGGCUAACUACGUG